This 252-nucleotide ribosomal RNA is filed under the name uncultured bacterium. Its description in RNAcentral is "partial 16S ribosomal RNA". It matches the Rfam family "Bacterial small subunit ribosomal RNA", at positions 524 to 776 of the family's 1533-position model. The record is from RNAcentral.
UACGUAGGUCCCGAGCGUUGUCCGGAUUUAUUGGGCGUAAAGCGAGCGCAGGUGGUUUAUUAAGUCUGGUGUAAAAGGCAGUGGCUCAACCAUUGUAUGCAUUGGAAACUGGUAGACUUGAGUGCAGGAGAGGAGAGUGGAAUUCCAUGUGUAGCGGUGAAAUGCAUAGAUAUAUGGAGGAACACCGGUGGCGAAAGCGGCUCUCUGGACUGUAACUGACACUGAGGCACGAAAGCGUGGGGAGCAAACAGG